Molecule: ribosomal RNA, 354 nt
Filed under: uncultured bacterium
Lineage: Bacteria
Description: bacterial SSU rRNA
Rfam family: Bacterial small subunit ribosomal RNA
Source: RNAcentral
AACGAACGCUGGCGGCAUGCCUAACACAUGCAAGUCGAACGAGACCUUCGGGUCUAGUGGCGCACGGGUGCGUAACGCGUGGGAACCUGCCUUUAGGUUCGGAAUAACUCAGAGAAAUUUGAGCUAAUACCGGAUGAUGUCUUCGGACCAAAGAUUUAUCGCCUUUAGAUGGGCCCGCGUAAGAUUAGCUAGUUGGUGGGGUAAAGGCCUACCAAGGCGACGAUCUUUAGCUGGUCUGAGAGGAUGAUCAGCCACACUGGGACUGAGACACGGCCCAGACUCCUACGGGAGGCAGCAGUGGGGAAUAUUGGACAAUGGGCGAAAGCCUGAUCCAGCAAUGCCGCGUGAGUGAUG